Molecule: ribosomal RNA, 253 nt
Filed under: uncultured bacterium
Lineage: Bacteria
Description: partial 16S ribosomal RNA
Rfam family: Bacterial small subunit ribosomal RNA
Source: RNAcentral
UACAGGGGGGGCAAGCGUUGUUCGGAAUUACUGGGCGUAAAGGGCUCGUAGGUGGCCAACUAAGUCAGACGUGAAAUCCCUGAGCUUAACUGGGGAACUGCGUCUGAUACUGGAUGGCUUGAGUUUGGGAGAGGGAUGCGGAAUUCCAGGUGUAGCGGUGAAAUGCGUAGAUAUCUGGAGGAACACCGGUGGCGAAGGCGGCAUCCUGGACCAGCACUGACGCUGAGGUGCGAAAGCCAGGGGAGCAAACGGG